Molecule: transfer RNA, 87 nt
Filed under: Piscirickettsiaceae bacterium
Lineage: Bacteria; Pseudomonadati; Pseudomonadota; Gammaproteobacteria; Thiotrichales; Piscirickettsiaceae
Description: tRNA-Leu
Rfam family: tRNA
About the family: Transfer RNA (tRNA) molecules are approximately 80 nucleotides in length. Their secondary structure includes four short double-helical elements and three loops (D, anti-codon, and T loops).
Source: RNAcentral
GCCGAUGUGGUGGAAUUGGUAGACACGCCGGAUUCAAAAUCCGGUUCCUUUGCGGGAGUGACGGUUCGACCCCGUCCAUCGGUACCA